AUGAACCGCGGCGAACCCUCAGACGACCCUUCUAAGAUAAGGGGGGAGAUCCUCAGUAGUGGUGACCCUUUGACUCUUCCACUCACUUAUAUAUGGGGGUUGCUCCGAUAAAAAAUCCUUUCUUUCUCGUCCACUCUAGGGGGUGCGGACACACCUGCGCGGAUUACAGGUGACGGUUACAAGAAUGGCGGGGAAGUGAAGAGUACCCGACGACAUUCAGGGAUGAAUGUAGACCCAUCGGGCGGGGAUAAUCAUUCCGGUCCUGGGAGAGGUGGCGACACCAGUCUGAGCUGA
Molecule: ribosomal RNA, 294 nt
Filed under: Triticum aestivum (bread wheat)
Lineage: Eukaryota; Viridiplantae; Streptophyta; Magnoliopsida; Poales; Poaceae
Description: partial small subunit ribosomal RNA
Source: RNAcentral